Molecule: long non-coding RNA, 4006 nt
Filed under: Vigna radiata
Lineage: Eukaryota; Viridiplantae; Streptophyta; Magnoliopsida; Fabales; Fabaceae
Description: long non-coding RNA (VRAD_LNC006194)
Source: RNAcentral
AGAGAGGAGCAUGUAGCAUUCACAUAAGACAAGACCAAGAGUUUAGAUUAGAAAACUUACCUUCGCAGCUUCAAAGUAACUCUUUCUUUUGGUUCUAGUCCCUGCUUUCUUCGAUUGAUCCUUCUUUUUUAUUAUCCCACGUUCUUGCAUGUGCAAGGAGGUUGAAUGGGAGGUUCACAGUUGACGACCAAGAUGAAGGCAAAUGACUCCCUUUCUCUCGGGCCGUGAGUUCCUUUACUUUUUCGUUGUGAUGGUUGAUGAUGGGGUGAGUCUCUAACGUCCUCAGAUGGUAAGGCGAUGGAUAAGAAAAAUGUUUUUCAGUGUUCUCUAUCAGUGCCUAUUUUCUGUUGUUGUUCCUCCUCUUGUGUUGGUCUGAUAUUGAUAUUAACUCCUCUGAUCUCGUGCUCUUCUUCUGUUGGUAAAGGUCCUUUUUUACAUUUCAGAAUAUCUCUCAGGAUCUCACAUUUGUCUUUUUUCUCUUUUCAUGCUUUCAUCGUAUCAGUUGAACAAAAGCCUUCAAAAUCUUCACUCUUUCCAUGAAUGCAGAUCAACGUUAGACAAAUUAGGAAUAAGGACCAGGUCCCUUCACGCUGCUACUGCAUGUAUCCAUUUCAAGCAUUCUCUGUGUCUGGAAAGCAACUUUGCAGAGAAGCAUAGUUGACCUUGAUUUUGCUUUUUGUUCUUUUCUUCUUCUCAUGUAUUACUUUGAUUGAUCAGCGAAAUAGUUCAAAUAUCCUUUCCCCUUUAGUAUCUGAUUACAAUUUUAGUAUCUGAUUACAGCUAUGGUGUAGGGAUUUUUUGUUUGAGGAACAAAGACCUUCUCUCACACUACAAUUUAAGCAUUUGUCGCAACCAGAAAUCGCGACGGGACGACGACGAUCCAAAAAAGAAAAUAUUUAUAAAAAAGAGUUUGGAGUCGCCACCAUAGUUUAUUCUGGAAAACUACGGAAAAACCAUAAAGAAAGGCACGGUCCACGAAAACCAAAGAUUGGGUUCGGGAGUCGAUUACGUAUGGGGAAGGUGUUAGCACCCCCACAACGCCUGCCCUAAGGCAAUACCUUUAACUAAAUACGCGAAUUUGAUGUAGUUUGCAAAAUGUUUAAUUUCCCCUAAAAAAAUAAAACUAUAAAGAAAACAAAAUAUUUUUUGUGUUUUUUGUGCCCGACAAGGAUUGACCUUGCUCUUACGUAUUCUCAGUUGGACUGAGAAAUCAGGGUUACGUAGUUCUUUGAAUCAUUUGGGUGAUUGUUUCGAAAACAUGAUGUUUUAUAUUUUUUUUUUGCUGAUUUUUUUGGAAGAAGAAGAAAAAGGUUUUCGGCACAAGGCUGACGCGGAUGGUCGCACGUGUGCUUAAACCUUUUUAAAAUAUUUUGUUAUUUUGAAAGAAGGAGGAAAAGGGUUUUAACACAAGGCUGACGCGAAUGGUCGCACGUAUGCUUAAACCUUUUAAAAUAUUUUUGUUGUUUUUGAAAGGGGGAGGAAAAGAGUUUUAACACAAGGCUGACGCGAAUGGUCGCACGUGUGCUUAAACCUUUUAAGAUAUUUUGUUAUUUUUUGAAAGAAUGAGGAAAAUGUUUUAACACAAGGCUGACGCGAAUGGUCGCACGUGUGCUUAAACCUUUUGAAAUAUUUUUGUUAUAUUUUUUUUAAAAGAAAGAGGAAAAGGUUUUAACACAAGGCUGACGCGAAUGGUCGCACGUGUGCCUAANUAAACCUUUUGAAAUAUUUUUGUUAUAUUUUUUUAAAGUAGAUGAAACGAGAUAAAUAAAUAAACAAAUAAGUAAAAAAAGUAGAAAUAAAAAGAAAUAACUAAAUAAAAUGAAAGUGAGAAAUAAAAAUAAAAAAAUAAAGUAAAAAUAAUGAUAAAAUAAACUAAAGGGAACAAAAUGACAAGUAAAACAAAAUAAACAAAAUAAACAAAUUGGGCCAAAGCCCAAAUGGAAAAGGGUGGUAAAAAUAAAAAGAGGGGUGUCCAAACCAAUUUAAUUCUCAUAAUAGGUUGGGCCAAAGCCCAAGUGGAAAAGAGGGGUGUGAAUAUGAGAUAGGGGUCUGCAAAUGAAUUUUAAAUACUUAUAACAGAUUGGGCCAAAGCCCAGGUAGGAAAGAGGGCUCGACUUAGCAGAGACCGGGGUGCAGAAAGGGUUUUUAUUUAAUGUUUUUUUUUUGGGUUUUUUGGUUUGGCCAAACCUGGGCCCGAUUUAGGGGUGUGUUGAUAGAAAAUGAGGGUGCGGAAGAAGGUGUUUUUUUUCUUUUCAUAAAACCGAAUGGGCUUGAGCCCAAAGACAAAGGGGGGGUUGCAUGGCCAGAAUCUCUUGGGUCCAGGCCCAAAUUUUAAUCAGAACCCAAUUAGGGUUUUCUUGCAACUCCAUCUCUCAUUCGCAGAAGCCAAACCAAAGAGGCAACAGCUUCCUCUCAUGCGCCCACCUACGCCUGCCACCGGACCAGCCGCCACCGUGCCGUCCGACCAGUCUUGGCUUCGCCGACGAUAACACAUCCUUCGAGAGAGAGCGGCGAUCUCAUAUCCUCCACCACCACGCGCACGCCGUCGUCAGCCUGGACCAGCCACCGCGACAAAGCCCCUACUCCGUCCGAGACGACGCCGGCGACCAAACCAUCGGAACCGCCGCCAGCCUAGACGCGAAUCCCUCUUUUCCUUUCCCCGCGUGAGAACAGGGAAGCGUCGUGCUUUUUUCCUUCAACCGACCACCACCGCGAGCCGCCACCGUCAUCGAAACAACGACCCUUCGCCGGACAGACACUGAGAAACCACCGCGCCUCCGAAAGUCGACACGAGCUCCAGCCGCCGCAGCCACAACAAUCACCACGCGAAUCCCCUCUGUUCUCAGUUACUAUCACACACUCAUUCUACGUUGAAGCUGGAAUCUCACAUUUAUGAGAUUUUUUUCAUGUUUUUUAAUUUUAAGCCGUGGUUUUCUUCCUUCUUGAUUCGUUUCCUGGAUUUGUUCCAGCGUUGACAGGGAAAGGAGGAAACAGAAAAGCUUAGGUAGAUUUGAUUUGUUGGUUCCGUUUGGUACCGGGGAAAGAUGGUUUUCGAUUGCUUUUUGUUAUGUGUUUUCUGGGUAAUGGACAUUGAAGUCAUGCUAGGGGACAUAUAUACCCAACUCCUAUUGCCAUUUAUUCAAUGCUGCAGGCAUACUGGAUGUAUUUUGAUUGACAAGUGAAGUCACAAAAGAGGCAAACAUCUGUAUACUGAUCAAACAUCCUUCAUGUAUAUCCAACCAAUAUCAUUCAUUCAUACCAACAUGUCAUUCAUAUCAUAUAACAGAGGAGCAUGUAGCAUUCACAUAAGACAAGACCAAGAGUUUAGAUUAGAAAACUUACCUUCGCAGCUUCAAAGUAACUCUUUCUUUUGGUUCUAAUCCCCUGCUUUCUUCGAUUGAUCCUUUUUUUUAUUAUCCCACGUUCUUGCAGGUGCGAGGAGGCUGGAUGAGAGGUUCACAGUUGACGACCAAGAUGAAGGCAAAUGACUCCCUUUCUCUCUNGCCGUGAGUUCCUUUACUCUUUCGUUGUGAUGGUUGAUGAUAGGUGAGUCCACGGUGGUGAGUCUCCAAAUGCUCUCUGUGACGAUAAUGGGUUGUAAAUGAAACCUAGUACUCCAUACUCUCUCCUUGUGCCUCUCAUCUCUUGUGAGAAUCCAUAAUGCCCCCCUUGUGAUGGUCUCUUGCUUGCUGUUUUUUGUUGUUGUAUCCCUCCCUCUCUAUUGUAUAUAGGGUAUCCUAUCCUCUGGCGCAGGAUUUUCUUUGUUUCUUCUCUUUUUCAUGUUUCCACUUUUCAGUUCGCCAAGCAGUUCAAAAUUUAUUUCCCUUUUGAUGUUAGAUUAUGGUUCUGUGUAAAGAUUUUUUAGCUUGUACACAGUGAGCAGAGAGGGACAGUGUUGCAUGGAAAACCUUACAGGAUAGAAAGCUCAUUUUGUGUUUGUGUAAUCUGAGGAUGGGAAGCAGCAAAGCCUGCUAUUCCUAAAAAACCAACUUAAGUUGACUAUUAC